CCUACGGGAGGCAGCAGUGAGGAAUAUUGGUCAAUGGACGAGAGUCUGAACCAGCCAAGUAGCGUGAAGGAUGACUGCCCUAUGGGUUGUAAACUUCUUUUAUAUGGGAAUAAAAUGUUCCACGUGUGGGAUUUUGUAUGUACCAUAUGAAUAAGGAUCGGCUAACUCCGUGCCAGCAGCCGCGGUAAUACGGAGGAUCCGAGCGUUAUCCGGAUUUAUUGGGUUUAAAGGGAGCGUAGGUGGAUUGUUAAGUCAGUUGUGAAAGUUUGGGGCUCAACCGUAAAAUUGCAGUUGAAACUGGCAGUCUUGAGGACAGUAGAGGUGGGCGGAAUUCGUGGUGUAGCGGUGAAAUGCUUAGAUAUCACGAAGAACUCCGAUUGCGAAGGCAGUUCACUGGACUGCAACUGACACUGAGGCUCGAAAGUGUGGGUAUCAAACAGGAUUAGAUACCCCGGUAGUC
RNAcentral lists this ribosomal RNA (460 nucleotides) under uncultured bacterium. RNAcentral describes it as "partial 16S ribosomal RNA". It matches the Rfam family "Bacterial small subunit ribosomal RNA", at positions 338 to 795 of the family's 1533-position model. The record is from RNAcentral.